Molecule: ribosomal RNA, 422 nt
Filed under: uncultured bacterium
Lineage: Bacteria
Description: bacterial SSU rRNA
Rfam family: Bacterial small subunit ribosomal RNA
Source: RNAcentral
UAAGGAAUAUUGGACAAUGGAGGCAACUCUGAUCCAGUCAUGCCGCGUGAAGGAAUAAGGCCCUAUGGGUUGUAAACUUCUUUUAGACGGGACAAAACCCCUUUACGUGUAAAGGGUUGAUGGUACUGUCAGAAUAAGCAUCGGCUAACUUCGUGCCAGCAGCCGCGGUAAUACGAAGGAUGCAAGCGUUAUCCGGAAUUAUUGGGUUUAAAGGGUGCGUAGGCGGACUAAUAAGUCAGUGGUGAAAGCCUGCAGCUUAACUGCAGAAUUGCCAUUGAUACUGUUAGUCUUGAGUACAGUUGAGGUAGGCGGAAUGUGUCAUGUAGCGGUGAAAUGCUUAGAUAUGACACAGAACACCGAUUGCGAAGGCAGCUUGCUAAGCUGUAACUGACGCUGAGGCACGAAAGCGUGGGGAGCAAACA